GAUCGCGUCGGAAGUGUAAUCUUGGGGCUUAACCCUGAGCGUGCUUUCGAUACGGGUUGACUUGAGGAAGGUAGGGGAGAAUGGAAUUCCUGGUGGAGCGGUGGAAUGCGCAGAUAUCAGGAGGAACACCAGUGGCGAAGGCGGUUCUCUGGGCCUUUCCUGACGCUGAGGAGCGAAAGCGUGGGGAGCGAACAGGCUUAGAUACCCUGGUAGUCCACGCUGUAAACGGUGGGUACUAGGUGUGGGGUCCAUUCCACGGGUUCCGUGCCGUAGCUAACGCUUUAAGUACCCCGCCUGGGGAGUACGGCCGCAAGGCUAAAACUCAAAGGAAUUGACGGGGCCCCGCACAAGCGGCGGAGCAUGCGGAUUAAUUCGAUGCAACGCGUAGAACCUUACCUGGGUUUGACAUGGAUCGGGAGUGCUCAGAGAUGGGUGUGCCUCUUUUGGGGUCGGUUCACAGGUGGUGCAUGGCUGUCGUCAGCUCGUGUCGUGAGAUGUUGGGUUAAGUCCCGCAACGAGCGCAACCCUUGUUCACUGUUGCCAGCACGUUAUGGUGGGGACUCAGUGGAGACCGCCGGGGUCAACUCGGAGGAAGGUGGGGAUGACGUCAAGUCAUCAUGCCCCUUAUGUCCAGGGCUUCACGCAUGCUACAAUGGC
This 657-nucleotide ribosomal RNA is filed under the name Cutibacterium acnes HL046PA2. RNAcentral's name for it is "bacterial SSU rRNA". It matches the Rfam family "Bacterial small subunit ribosomal RNA", at positions 581 to 1234 of the family's 1533-position model. Lineage: Bacteria; Bacillati; Actinomycetota; Actinomycetes; Propionibacteriales; Propionibacteriaceae. The record is from RNAcentral.